AACGAACGCUGGCGGCAGGCCUAACACAUGCAAGUCGAGCGGACAUCUUCGGAUGUUAGCGGCGAACGGGUGAGUAACGGGUGGGAACGUGCCCUUUGCUUCGGCCUAGCCUCGGGAAACGGGCACUAAUACCGGGUUUACCCUUCCGGGGAAAGAUUUAUCGGCAUAGGUUCGGCACGCGAUGGACUAGGCAGUUGGUGGAGGAAGGGCGUACCAAGCCGACGAUAGAUAGGUGGUACGAGAGGAUGGACAGCCACACUGGGCCUGAGACACGGCACAGUAUCCUACGGGAGGCAGUAGGGGGGAGUCUUAUACAACGGGGGCAAGUCUAAUAAAGCCAUGCCGCGUGAGGGAUGCAGGUCUUGGGGUUGUAAAGUUAUGUCAACGGGGAAGAUAAUGACGGUACCCGGAGAAGAAGCCCCGGCUAACUCCGUG
This 435-nucleotide ribosomal RNA is filed under the name uncultured bacterium. Its description in RNAcentral is "partial 16S ribosomal RNA". It matches the Rfam family "Bacterial small subunit ribosomal RNA", at positions 29 to 507 of the family's 1533-position model. The record is from RNAcentral.